CUACGGGGGGCUCCAGUGGGGAAUUUUGCGCAAUGGGGGAAACCCUGACGCAGCAAUACCGCGUGAGUGAAGAAGGCCUUUGGGUCGUAAAGCUCUUUUCUUGGGGAAGAUAGUGACGGUACCCAAGGAAUAAGCACCGGCUAACUCCGUGUCAGCAGCCGCGGUAAUACGGAGGGUGCAAGCGUUGUUCGGAUUUACUGGGCGUAAAGGGCACGUAGGCGGCACAGCAAGUUAAGGGUGAAAUCCCGGGGCUCAACUCCGGAACUGCUCUUAAAACUGCUGAGCUAGAGAUAGUCAGAGGCGGGUGGAAUUCCAGGUGUAGAGGUGAAAUUCGUAGAUAUCUGGAGGAACACCGGUGGCGAAGGCGGCCCGCUGGGGCUAUUCUGACGCUAAGGUGCGAAAGCGUGGGGAGCAAACGGGAUUAGAUACCCCAGUAGUC
Molecule: ribosomal RNA, 439 nt
Filed under: uncultured bacterium
Lineage: Bacteria
Description: partial 16S ribosomal RNA
Rfam family: Bacterial small subunit ribosomal RNA
Source: RNAcentral